AGUGAACGCUGGCGGUAGGCCUAACACAUGCAAGUCGAACGGUAGCACAGUAAGAGCUUGCUCUUACGGGUGGCGAGUGGCGGACGGGUGAGGAAUACAUCGGAAUCUACUUUUUCGUGGGGGAUAACGUAGGGAAACUUACGCUAAUACCGCAUACGACCUACGGGUGAAAGCAGGGGAUCUUCGGACCUUGCGCGAUUGAAUGAGCCGAUGUCGGAUUAGCUAGUUGGCGGGGUAAAGGCCCACCAGGGCGACGAUCCGUAGCUGGUCUGAGAGGAUGAUCAGCCACACUGGAACUGAGACACGGUCCAGACUCCUACGGGAGGCAGCAGUGGGGAAUAUUGGACAAUGGGCGCAAGCCUGAUCCAGCCAUACCGCGUGGGUGAAGAAGGCCUUCGGGUUGUAAAGCCCUUUUGUUGGGAAAGAAAAGCAGCAGGUUAAUACCCCGCUGUUCUGACGGUACCCAAAGAAUAAGCACCGGCUAACUUCGU
Molecule: ribosomal RNA, 491 nt
Filed under: uncultured bacterium
Lineage: Bacteria
Description: partial 16S ribosomal RNA
Rfam family: Bacterial small subunit ribosomal RNA
Source: RNAcentral